CAGUUCCUUGUGGUUGUAGAUCUUCAGUUUCUUCCUGGUUGUAAACUUUGGGUCAUUCCCAGCUUCUAAAGGUCACUGGCUUUUCUUGGCUUGUGGCCCCCUACCACUGUUUUAAAAGCCAGUAAUAGCAGGCCACAUCUUUCUCAUACUGCCAUCUGUCUGAAUCUCAGCAUCCAGAAAAUAUUCUCUGCUCUCAAGGAAUUAUGAGAUUAGACUGGCUCACCAAGGUAAUUCAAGAUAAACACAAUCUGGGAAACAUUUUAUAAUACAGAGGGCCACACCAGAUUGAAUAUUGCCCCCAGGAAUGAAAUGAAAACAGGAAUGGAUUCUCCAGUAAGAGGGUAUCACAGGGCGUCAAACUGGAAAAUGUGGCACUGCCUGGAGUUUCUACCUGGUGAAGGGUGGCAGACUUUUCUCUUCAGAGGACUCUUGACAGGGUAGCAUCCAUUAUCUUGCCAAUUUACUACAACCUAGGCCCAAUCCUCAGUCUUAUAGGUUCAGAAAUUUA
RNAcentral lists this long non-coding RNA (508 nucleotides) under Homo sapiens (human). Its description in RNAcentral is "HSALNT0352389". Lineage: Eukaryota; Metazoa; Chordata; Mammalia; Primates; Hominidae. The record is from RNAcentral.